GAUGAACGCUAGCUACAGGCUUAACACAUGCAAGUCGAGGGGAAACGAUAUUGGAAGCUUGCUUCCGAUAGGCGUCGACCGGCGCACGGGUGAGUAACGCGUAUCCAACCUUCCGUACACUCAGGGAUAGCCUUUCGAAAGAAAGAUUAAUACCUGAUGGUAUGAUGAGAUUGCAUGAUAGCAUCAUUAAAGAUUUAUCGGUGUACGAUGGGGAUGCGUUCCAUUAGGUAGUAGGCGGGGUAACGGCCCACCUAGCCUGCGAUGGAUAGGGGUUCUGAGAGGAAGGUCCCCCACAUUGGAACUGAGACACGGUCCAAACUCCUACGGGAGGCAGCAGUGAGGAAUAUUGGUCAAUGGACGAGAGUCUGAACCAGCCAAGUAGCGUGCAGGAUGACGGCCCUAUGGGUUGUAAACUGCUUUUAUAAGGGAAUAAAGUGAGUCUCGUGAGACUUUUUGCAUGUACCUUAUGAAUAAGGACCGGCUAAUUCCGUGCCAG
RNAcentral lists this ribosomal RNA (496 nucleotides) under uncultured bacterium. Its description in RNAcentral is "bacterial SSU rRNA". It matches the Rfam family "Bacterial small subunit ribosomal RNA", at positions 28 to 511 of the family's 1533-position model. The record is from RNAcentral.